AUGGAGCUCCAUAUGGUUAUGGUACUGCAGCUUCCCUCCCUGCCUAUGCCACCCGUCCGCUUAACCCGGAAGCCAGUUGCACCAAUGUGUUGGAGGAAACACCGUUUAACUGACGACCAGAGUCAGCCUGCAGGCACCUGGCCCAUCACCAGGAGUCACUAGAGCGCGAUGAGCAAAGUAUCCCCCCCCCCCCCCCCCCCCCCCGGCCAAACUCUCCCCUAACCCGGACGACGCUGGGCCAAUUGUGGGCCACCCUAUGGGACUCCCGGUCACAGCCAGUUGUGAGACAACCUGGGAUUGAACCUGGGUCUGUAGUGAUGCCUCAAGCACUGCGUUGUAGUGCCUUAGAUCGCUGUGCCACUCGGGAGGCCCCGCAUGCGCUAACUUUUCCAACUCACCUUGCCAUUUUCUGCUUUCCUGAUUCUUAGCGAGGGUGCUCAGAUGCCGAACAGUCAAAUGUGAGUGCCUUCAGAAAGUAUUCACACCCCUUGACUUUUUUCACAUUUUGUUACAUUACAAAGUGGGAUUAAAUGUAUGUAAUUGGCAUUUUUUUUCCAACAAUCUAUACAAAAUACUCUGUCAAAGUGGAGGAAAAAUCUCACUAUAUAUCUCACUGAUCAUCCCCAAAGCCAACACCUCAUUUGGCCACCUUUGCUUCCAGUUCUCUGCUGCCUGUGACUGGAACGAAUUGCAAAAAUUGCUGAAGCUGGAGUCUUAUCUCCAUCACCAACUUUAAACAUCAGCUAUCUGAGCAGUUAACCGAUCGCUGCAGCUGUACAUAGUCCAUUUGGAAAUAGCCCACCCAAUCUACUUACCUCAUCCCCAUACUGUUUUUAUUUACUUUUCUGCUCUUUUGCACACCAGUAUCUCUACUUGCACAUCAUCAUCUGCUCAUUUAUCACUCCAGUGUUAAUCUGCUAAAUUGUUAUUCUUUGCUACUGUGGGCCAUUUAUUGCCUACCUCAUGCAUUUUGCACACACUGUAUAUAGACUUUUUUAUUGUGUUAUUGGCUUGUUUAUUGUUUAUUCCAUGUUAUUUCCAUGUUAUUUCAUGUGUAACUAUGUGUUGUUGUCUGUGUCACACUGCUUUGCUUUAUCUUGGCCAGGUCGCAGUUGUAAAUGAGAACUUGUUCUCAACUAGCCUACCUGGUUAAAUAAAGGUGAAAUAAAAUAAAUAAAUAAAAGGACAAAAAGUACAUUUCUUUGCCCCAUUCUUUGCAGUAUUGUUCUGUACAGGCUUCCUUUUCACUCUGUCAUUUAGGUUAGCAUUGUGGAGUAUUGUUUAUCUAUCCUUAGUUUUAUCCUAUCACACCCAUUUAACUCUGUAAUAACUGUUUUAAAAUCACCAUUGGUAUCAUGGUGAAAUCCCUCAGCAGUUUCCUUCCUUUCUGUCAACUCGGGGAUUCGAUCUAGCAACCUUUCGGUUACUGGCCCAAUGCUCAAACCACUUGGUUACCUGCCGCCCCAAAUGAGGGACUUUACAGAAAAUUGUGCAUGUGGGGUACAGCAAUGGGAUAGUCAUUCAAAAAUCAUAUUUUUCACCAUUAUUGUACACAGUUAGUUCAUGCAACUUUUCUGGUUACUACAGUUGAAGUCAGAAGUUUACAUACACUUAGGGUUCUUGCAUACACUCCAAAUGUCUUGUUAACAAACCUAUAGUUUUGACAAGUCGG
RNAcentral lists this long non-coding RNA (1672 nucleotides) under Oncorhynchus mykiss (rainbow trout). Its description in RNAcentral is "lncRNA (ENSOMYG00000064562.1)". The record is from RNAcentral. Lineage: Eukaryota; Metazoa; Chordata; Actinopteri; Salmoniformes; Salmonidae.